Molecule: transfer RNA, 74 nt
Filed under: Acetomicrobium flavidum
Lineage: Bacteria; Thermotogati; Synergistota; Synergistia; Synergistales; Acetomicrobiaceae
Description: tRNA_Trp_CCA
Rfam family: tRNA
About the family: Transfer RNA (tRNA) molecules are approximately 80 nucleotides in length. Their secondary structure includes four short double-helical elements and three loops (D, anti-codon, and T loops).
Source: RNAcentral
AGUUUAGUAGCUCAACUGGGCAGAGCACCGGACUCCAAAUCCGGGGGUUGCAGGUUCGAAUCCUGCCGGGCCUG